This 254-nucleotide ribosomal RNA is filed under the name uncultured bacterium. RNAcentral's name for it is "partial 16S ribosomal RNA". It matches the Rfam family "Bacterial small subunit ribosomal RNA", at positions 524 to 776 of the family's 1533-position model. The record is from RNAcentral.
GACAGAGGUGGCUAGCGUUGUUCGGAUUCAUUGGGUGUAAAGGGUGCGUAGGCGGUUUGGAAAGUCAGAUGUGAAAGCCCACAGCUCAACUGUGGAACUGCAUCUGAAACUUCUGAACUAGAGUGCGAGAGAGGUAAAGGGAAUUCCCGGUGUAAGGGUGAAAUCUGCAGAGAUCGGGAGGAACACCAGUAGCGAAGGCGCUUUACUGGCUCGUAACUGACGCUGAGUGCACGAAGGCAUGGGGAGCAAACGGG